ACGUAGGGUGCAAGCGUUACUCGGAAUUACUGGGCGUCAAGCGUGCGCAGGCGGUUAUGUAAGACAGCUGUGAAAUCCCCGGGCUCAACCUGGGAACUGCAUUUGUGACUGCAUCGCUGGAGUGCGGCAGAGGGGGAUGGAAUUCCGCGUGUAGCAGUGAAAUGCGUAGAUAUGCGGAGGAACACCGAUGGCGAAGGCAAUCCCCGGGGCCUGCACUGACGCUCAUGCACGAAAGCGUGGGGAGCAAACAGG
RNAcentral lists this ribosomal RNA (252 nucleotides) under uncultured bacterium. RNAcentral's name for it is "partial 16S ribosomal RNA". It matches the Rfam family "Bacterial small subunit ribosomal RNA", at positions 525 to 776 of the family's 1533-position model. The record is from RNAcentral.